This 253-nucleotide ribosomal RNA is filed under the name uncultured bacterium. RNAcentral's name for it is "partial 16S ribosomal RNA". It matches the Rfam family "Bacterial small subunit ribosomal RNA", at positions 524 to 776 of the family's 1533-position model. The record is from RNAcentral.
UACGUAGGGGGCUAGCGUUGUCCGGAAUCAUUGGGCGUAAAGAGCGUGUAGGCGGCCCGGUAAGUCCGCUGUGAAAGUCGGGGGCUCAACCUUCGAAUGCCGGUGGAUACUGUCGGGCUAGAGUGCGGAAGAGGCGAGUGGAAUUCCUGGUGUAGCGGUGAAAUGCGCAGAUAUCAGGAGGAACACCGGUGGCGAGGGCGGGUCUCUGGGCCGAUACUGACGCUGAGGAGCGAAAGCGUGGGGAGCGAACAGG